This 305-nucleotide ribosomal RNA is filed under the name uncultured bacterium. RNAcentral's name for it is "partial 16S ribosomal RNA". It matches the Rfam family "Bacterial small subunit ribosomal RNA", at positions 508 to 807 of the family's 1533-position model. The record is from RNAcentral.
ACAGCAGUCGCCGCGGUAAUACGAACCGUGCGAACGUUAUUCGGAAUCACUGGGCUUAAAGCGCGUGUAGGUGGGCCACCACGUCGGCUGCUGAAAUCCCCCGGCUCAACCGGGGAACGGGCACCGAUACGAGUGGCCUUGAGGGGGGUAGGGGGACCUGGAACUUCCGGUGGAGCGGUGAAAUGCGUUGAGAUCGGAAGGAACGCCCGUGGCGAAAGCGAGGUCCUGGACCCUUUCUGACACUGAGACGCGAAAGCCAGGGGAGCAAACAGGAUUAGAGACCCCUGUAGUCCCUGUCUCUUAUA